AUUUAAGUAGUUUAUUAAAAUAUGGGCUUGUGGCGCCCAAGAUGCUUGUUUGGCCUUAGAUA
Molecule: transfer RNA, 62 nt
Filed under: Lachnaia tristigma
Lineage: Eukaryota; Metazoa; Arthropoda; Insecta; Coleoptera; Chrysomelidae
Also listed under: 1 other name
Description: tRNA-His
Source: RNAcentral